GACGUAGGGGGCCAGCGUUGUUCGGAAUUACUGGGUGUAAAGGGUUCGUAGGCGGUGCGGCAAGUCGGGAGUGAAAUCUCUGGGCUUAACCCAGAGGCUGCUUCCGAAACUGCUGUGCUUGAGUGUGGGAGAGGCGCGUGGAAUUGCAGGUGUAGCGGUGAAAUGCGUAGAUAUUGGGAAGAACACCGGUGGCGUAAGCGGCUUGCUGGGCUUUAACUGACGCUGAGGAACGAAAGCUAGGGUAGCGAAUGGG
Molecule: ribosomal RNA, 253 nt
Filed under: uncultured bacterium
Lineage: Bacteria
Description: partial 16S ribosomal RNA
Rfam family: Bacterial small subunit ribosomal RNA
Source: RNAcentral